This 203-nucleotide small nuclear RNA is filed under the name Macaca mulatta (Rhesus monkey). RNAcentral's name for it is "U1 spliceosomal RNA (ENSMMUG00000062526.1)". It matches the Rfam family "U1 spliceosomal RNA". Rfam says of the family: U1 is a small nuclear RNA (snRNA) component of the spliceosome (involved in pre-mRNA splicing). Its 5' end forms complementary base pairs with the 5' splice junction, thus defining the 5' donor site of an intron. The record is from RNAcentral. Lineage: Eukaryota; Metazoa; Chordata; Mammalia; Primates; Cercopithecidae.
GUACUUAUCUAGCAGGGGAGAUAUCAUGAUCACGAAGGUGGUUUUGUUUUUUUUUUGUUUGUUUGUUUGUUUUUUUUAUUAUUAAAGGCGAGGCUUUUUCGUUGCACUUUGGAUGUGUGUAUUGAUCCUUGUGAUUUCCGCAAAUGUGGGAAACUUGACUGCGUAAUUUGUGGUAGGGGCGACUGCGUUCGCGCUUUCUUCUG